Molecule: long non-coding RNA, 363 nt
Filed under: Zonotrichia albicollis (white-throated sparrow)
Lineage: Eukaryota; Metazoa; Chordata; Aves; Passeriformes; Passerellidae
Description: lncRNA (ENSZALG00000004487.1)
Source: RNAcentral
CUUCUGGUACCUCCCAUUGCAUUCCUGGAGAAGCUAAAAUCAGGUCACCUAUAGCUACUAAUAAAAAAGAAAUCCUGCUCUGAGAACUUGCUAGCCAUUCAUUACUUGAAGUUUCUGAACGCUUGUUGGGUAUUGCCCAAGGCUCUAAGCAGAGAUGAAAGAAGAGAAAGAAGGGAAUGCAGAAGUGGGGUGUGAAGAUGAGGAAGAAGAUAUUGGACAAGGUCUUCUUAGAAGGCUCCAACCUUCAGCUGCCAAAGACAUGAGGGGAGACCAGCUGAAGUUCCUCUGUGAAAUAUUCCAUCCUGCCUAAGUCCCCCUUUUGUCCCCUCUCCCAUGGCAGCCAAUGGGACUGGUCCUUCAAGG